AACUGACUCUGAUCUGUCCCUGCCUGCGUUUCUUUCCCAAGUCAGAUCCUUUCAGAGCUCACAACACCAGCACAAAGGGCAAAGUUACAGGGACAAGGGAAACGGUCCGAUCAGAGGGAAGAAGGGGUUUUAACGCUCCCUCCCCACGCCAUGUACUACAGACUCCCCGCUCAGCUCCGUGUGCCAGGCAUGGGAGACCUUAUCUCCCAUGUAGGAAAUCUCCACUGUUUUGUUUUCUCUCAUUAGCAUCCCCAGUCGCAUAUUAUUUAUUUACUUCUUUUAGUUGUGGCUGUCCAAAUGCUUGACUUAGAUUCAAAUUCCUAAGCAUCCAGAGCUUCAGUUCAAAGCCGAAUGAAAAGUGUGUGUGUGAAAAUGAUCUGCACAUCCUCAACUAAACCUCACCCUGUAAAGUUUCAAAAUAAUAAAGGCAUGGGUUCAUAGAGGGGUGUAUUCUGAGUGCCAAGCGCCCAGUAAAAUUUGUCUUUUCUUCUUGCUCUGCCAGGGAAAUGGGAUGAACUAGAACUUCUUUCUGGAGCGAAGUGCAUGGAUGAAACGUACAUUUUGUGGAGAGGAUCCUUUUAGCUCUAUAGGAACACACAGAAACCAAAUGAAUUGAAUAUUCAGAUUGAUGGCCCUGAAAAACAGAAGUUACCUGUUUGCAGCACAGUUACUUGAAGGCAGGAGUGGGACAAGAUUGCUCCAACAAGGAAAUCUUAGUCUGAGAAUUGCCGGAACCUCUUCAAUCAACAUAAAAGUUCCAGCUACUUCAUCCUUACUGAAAUAAGAGGUUGCAACUCCUACGAUGAAAUCCUGGCCCUGUUGAAGUCAUUCCGUUAAUUUCAAUGGGUUCAGCACUUAAUCCCCAUCAUAGACUUGAAUCCUUCUGACUGAUGAAAAAAAUAAAACAAUUGGUAUGAGACAGCAGGAUUGAGAGACCUUGGGAUGAUUGCUGGGGUCUGGGCAGAGGACAGAUCCUCAGAGAUAAGAAAGUGAAAACAAAGUGGGAAAGGAUGUAUAUCAGGAGACAAGGGGAUGCAGAGACUUUUUAUUAACACUCCCAAGAACAAUGGUGGUUCUACAGAAGAAAUUUGGAAAAGUCUGCUGCAUCUCACUAUGUUGUUGGCAGGUUUACUUCAAGUAAGACAUGUUCUGACAGAAGAGUUCAAAAUUCAGUAGGCCUUACAUGAGAUGGUCUGAGUAUUGUCAGUGGAAGUUAACAAUACACACAUCUGCUGGUUGUAAACUGUGCAUAGAGGGAUUAACACUGGGAAGUUAUUUAUAGAAUUUUAUAUCUAAAUAUAUUUUAAAAAUAAACUCUCAGUGCAAUAUGUUGGUUCAUUUACUGAAAAGCAUUGACAUGCUCAUUAAAUUCUGUCAUGCAAAAUCCUUCAUACUUUGAAACAGGGCUGUCCAACUUCCAAGUGGCCAAGGGCCACAUGCUCUGUAGAUCACAUCACCGAGGGUCCCACACAGCAGCGGCAGCCGGGGGGCAGGCAGGGAGGGGAGGGCAUGUUAGGUCCUUGUGGGCCAAUUCUGCUUUAACAUAAUCAAGUUUGUUUUGUCUCUGGCUUCUGAAAACUGUUUGAGAAUGUUCUGCCCAAAGUGAGUGUUACAGGUCUUUUGUAUUCUAAUUAGCAAGAAAUCAGUGUAAAAACAGCUAAUGCACUUUUCUCAUUCAUAUAUUAAGGUUAAAAUGCAACGUCUCAAUUUUUCCCUCACUUUUUUCUCCCUUUUAAACAAAAAUCUGCUUAAAUUUUGAAACAGGUUUCUGAACAAGUCAAAAUAUCUUCCCUGGUGAAUUCCACAACCAUUAAGGUUGUUCUUUACUGAUGUUUCCCAUUCAUUUCAGCGGAAUGAAAUGGUAGUCUUUCUCUUACAUGAUGGGUAAAAACAGCAGUAAACUGAAACUGAAACAGAAGUACAAUCCACAAGGGAAGCUCUACUACAGGUUUAAUGUAUUCCCAUCAGAAAUCACAAAGUCUUUCAGGGUCUUAUAUGUUUAGCAUUAAAGUUCUAUAACAUUUAUAGGACUAAAGGUACCUGUAUAUAUUACAUUUUGUUGUUGCAUGUAGGCAUUUUAUAAGUAAAUGCAGAAAUCGCAAGUCACUAUUCUUUGUCUUUAUAAGCUCAGAGUUGGAAAGAUGAGUUACUGAACAGUGAUUUUGUCAUGUUCUUUAAAUAUUUUGACAGACUUUUGUGCUUUUAAUUACUAAUCUAUAAAUAUCUUAUAAAAAACUGCACAGCAAUUAUCUUUGCUGUUUUGAGGACAUGUAAAUAAUGAUAAGUCUGUGGCACAGUAGAAGUGGUGUUAUAUUUAUUUCUUCAUACACACUUCAUUACACAAACCAAUUAUUUAUUUCAAUACAUGUUUUGCUCAGAAUCCUCUUUCUAAUGAAUAAACUUUUAGUAUGUUAGCCAUAUUUUAAACUAGCACUUGUAAAUGUAUCAGCAACAUGUACACAUUGAAACCACUUCUUUCCCUUUCUUUGAAUUGCAAUUAGAAGUGGUUAUGUUUGUGAAUCUACUGGGAUUCCAAGUUUUUCCAAUUACCAAGGAGUUUCUCUUUAUUUGAAUUUCUUUCCUCUGACAGCUCUAGAGAAUAUUUAUAAAAUAGUCAACUUUGAACUAGAAUGCAAGAAAAUAGCUAACUACAUGAACACCAUGUGCUGGUUAUUUAGAAACAAUAUUAAAAGGAGAUUAAAAACUAUCACAAUAAAUAAAAAAAGAAGUAGCAACAGCAGAGCCAUAAGUAUGAAGAUGCUACUGCAGAGCCUGGGGGGAGGGAUAACCUUGCAAAGCUGUAAGUUAUCAGAGGGUGAUAAAAGGGGUGGAGUAGAGUACAGACUUUCAAAUUUACUGAAGUGAUCUUUAUACAUUUACUACAGUUUAUUUGUUGUCUAGCACUUAAAAUUUGUCAUUGAGUCUGCAAUGGAAAUACUUCUGUAAUUGCCCUUAUUAUAUGGAUCAUUGACCUUCAACAGUGAAACUGUUGAAGCAACUGUCCAUUUAUCUGGAAAAUUACCACAUGGCAAGAUCACAUUAGAGAGUUUUACAAGGCCUGCUCUAGCAAGUUCCUGUGUAUUAUUAGACACUGGACCAUACAAAUCUUUCUGCAUUUGACUGUUAUAUGCACCUUUAAUGAUUAAACAUGGAAGAAAAAUAGCAUUUGCCUAUCAAUUGUCCUGUUAAUUUUUAUUUAUUUAUUCAAUAUGUUUUCUUUUCACAUUAAUUAUAAGGGAUAACACAGUCUCAAUCAUCAUUGUUAAAUAUUAUUACAAGGAAAUAGGCAUACUUAAGUUAUGGUUCACUGGAACAAUUACAAAAAGAUUAUGUGAUAAUUUGUUUCUGUUCCACUUUAUUUUGGCUAAAAUAAUAUCUUGGAUUAUAAUAUGUCUAAUUAUAUUAUGGGUGUAUUUUAAAGACAUUUCAUUUUCUGGAAAAUAGCACAAAAUAUUGGAAUUGAAAAAAAUAAAUUUAGACUUAGUAUUGCAGGGGAAAUAAAGCCUUGAGAAAAAUAGUAAUCAUUGACCAAGUUUUACAUUUACCUCUAGUAUAUUCUUUCCAAAGCAAUCAAAUAGAUCAAAUAGAUGUAAACAAUAAUGGUGAGUGUCUCCUGUAUGUGUGGCUUUAAUAUAAAAAAUGUGAAUCUUCAUCUGCAGCCCUUUAAAGACAUGAAAUGUCUGCAGGUAAAUAUUGGCAGAACAGAGUGUGACGUUCUUUUUAGUUGUGUCAAGGUACCAUAGUCAGCAAUCUUUAUGGGGCAUCUUAAAAUAGAACAUGCUAAAAACAAUGAGCUCUCAUGUUGAUACAUUUAUGUAUGUUAUAGCCUUUACAUUUUAAUUACAAAAGCCAUAUAAAUAAAAUUUCACU
Alligator mississippiensis (American alligator) is the source of this 3870-nucleotide long non-coding RNA. RefSeq lists it as uncharacterized. The record is from RefSeq and is a predicted model, not a curated record. Lineage: Eukaryota; Metazoa; Chordata; Crocodylia; Alligatoridae. The transcript is spliced from 6 exons.